Pangasianodon hypophthalmus (striped catfish) is the source of this 2189-nucleotide long non-coding RNA. RefSeq lists it as uncharacterized. NCBI's taxonomy places the organism in Eukaryota, Metazoa, Chordata, Actinopteri, Siluriformes, Pangasiidae. The record is from RefSeq and is a predicted model, not a curated record. The transcript is spliced from 3 exons.
GAAAUGUACCAGGUGGAUGUGACAUUAGACUUUCAUUCUUCUGUUGCACUGGAUUCUUCUAUUGCACUGGAUUGAAGUCCCAACCAAAUCCUUCCCAAGAUCAUAUCCAGAGUGAGAGUAAGUCCAAAACCACUUACAGGUUGUCUCGUCCCCGCUGGUGAUGAGGCCUAGGAUGGUAGUGUCAUCAGCAAAUUUCAGGAUGGUGUUUGAGCUGUGCUUGGUGACACAGGUGUGUGUGAAAAGGGAGUACAGAAUGGGGCUGAGCGCACAUCCUUGUGGAGUGUCUGUGUUCAGAGUCAGCUUGGAGGACAUGGAGUUGCCAACCUUCACUUCCUGGGGUCUGCCAGUCAUGAAAAUUCUCAUCACUUGGAUACCACUUGCUGCUGCUGAGGAUGGCCCCAUAUGGACAGCCUAAAGAUAUAUGAGAUUAUUGUGGAUGGUACCACUUAGAAAACAUGAAGAUGGCUUUGUACUGCAAUUGAUACAAACAGUUUUGCUAUGAUGGCUUAGGACUGUUAUUGCUUUGAUAGCUUUAGGACUGCAGUUUGCAAUGGCCAGUUUUGCACUCAGUCUCCAUCAGUGAACAGUUGAUAACUUCAACAAAACAGACUUCAUGUGUAAACUUUAAUGAAUUUUCUUGGUUACACAAUUGCACUUUUUGACCAUGUAGUACACAGUUAUAGAAGGGAAUUAUUUAUAGGAUGAGGAUGGGUUCCUUUUUGAGCCUCGUUCUUCUCAAAGUUUCUUCCUCAUGAAGUCUCAGGGAGUUUUUCCUUGCCAACGCCACUUUAGCGAUAAAUUUAUAAAUGUAAAAUUUAUAUCUUAUAUCUUAUUUCUGUAAAGCUGCUUUGUGACAAUGUCCAUUGUUAAAAGCACUAUACAAAUAAAAUUGAAUUGAAUUGAGUUAUGCAUUCGUUUUUUGCUUCAAGUGGAAUUCUUUUAUGAAUAAUUAACAUAAAUUAAACACUGAAUGCUCAUAUCUCAUACUCUCACAUGCACACAGUACACUCUAAAGGAUUGUCUACACUGGGUUGCUUUGGUCUACUACAGACCUGAAGAGCUCAAGAGCAGUAAGGUUCCAACAGGAAGAGGGUGAAGUGAGUUCGAGGGACAGUACGGUAAUAGGAUAAAAUGCUUUGAUCUUAAUCCUGAGAUGAAGUCUGGAGAAUAGGAUUAAGCAUUAUGACAGACAGGUAGGAAGAGUGCCUUAGUGGACCGGAGAAGGCUUGACACACAGAUCUCAUUAGCAUUAACUGAUAUUGGGACAUCUGUAAAGCUCCACACAUACAGAGUAACUUUUUUUUUAUCAGUUUAUCAUGAAUGUAUCAUACACAUAGGCAACAAAUAAGCAAGGAAUCCAAGCGCAUAGAAUUAAAAUCCAUCAUCAGCUAGCAAAGAAGUGGUGAUGCUUUUUUUUUAAACUAAUAAAUAGAUGCAUAAGUUUAUAUUACAGAAUAUAUUACCAAGAAUGAGAAUAGGCAUUCAGUUCAAUUGAAUUUUAUUUAUGUAUAUAGUAGCACUUUUAACAAUGGAUAUUGUCACAAAACUACUUUACAGAAAUCCGGAUAAACAUUUAAAAUUUUAAAUUUUACUAAUGUCCGCUAUAUACCCUAUCAUUUGUCCUCUCUAAAAAUACUUUCAUUUUUGAACACACAUGAAAGAAAUAGAUCCAUGAAGAUUAUUGGGAAGUGAAGGAGUGUCUUGUGCAUGUACUUUUUAUUUUAAAGAAUGAUGAACCUGAUGAGAAGGUGAGAAAAUUAACGAUCUCUUUUUCCUCCUUCAGUCAUUUUUGACACAAUUUUUAUUACACUUGCAGCACGUAUAGUAAUCUAAAUGGGUCCCUGGAGGACUAGUGGUUAGGCCACAUCGCUCUCACCACUGCGUCCUGGGUUUGAUUCCUGGUCAGGGAACUACCCCCAGCCAGUGGGUUUACGUGCAACAGUGCGCUCUCCGUGCCGGUCCCAAGCCCGGAUAAAAAUCGGGGAGGGUUGCGUCAGGGAGGGCAUCCGGCGUAAAAAUUGUGCCAAAUCAAAUACGUGGACCAAUGAUCAGCUGUGGCAACCUCUAACAGGAGCAGCCAAAAGAGGAACAACAACAACAUAUAGCAAUAUAAAUAAACUCCUGGGUGUAUUAAUUUACAUGUACAUACAGUAUGCUUUAAUGCUUCUUAUACUGUGACUAAAUACACU